AAACGCUUGAGGCCAUCAGUGGUGAUAGUGCAAAAAAAGUAGAGACAGCUGAAAAAGCAUCUCAGGUGACAGAGUGACCUCUUUUUUAUCAUUUGGAGGAUUCGAGUUUCAGAAUCGAAGCAGUUCUUUGUUUUUGGCCUUGAUGUUAUCUAGUUAUGUUUGUUCUUCAAUAGAGUGCCUGUAUGCUGGAAUGAUUGUUCACA
RNAcentral lists this unclassified non-coding RNA (203 nucleotides) under Hevea brasiliensis (rubber tree). The record is from RNAcentral. Lineage: Eukaryota; Viridiplantae; Streptophyta; Magnoliopsida; Malpighiales; Euphorbiaceae.